UGGGGAAUAUUGCGCAAUGGGCGGAAGCCUGACGCAGCGACGCCGCGUGGGGGAUGACGGCCUUCGGGUUGUAAACCUCUUUCGACCGGGACGAAGAGAAAUUGACGGUACCGGUAUAAGAAGCACCGGCCAACUACGUGCCAGCAGCCGCGGUAAUACGUAGGGUGCGAGCGUUGUCCGGAAUUAUUGGGCGUAAAGAGCUCGUAGGCGGUGUGUCACGUCGAUCGUGAAAACUUACAGCUUAACUGUGAGCGUGCGGUCGAUACGGGCAUCACUGGAGUUCGGCAGGGGAGACUGGAAUUCCUGGUGUAGCGGUGAAAUGCGCAGAUAUCAGGAGGAACACCGGUGGCGAAGGCGGGUCUCUGGGCCGAUACUGACGCUGAGGAGCGAAAGCGUGGGG
This 400-nucleotide ribosomal RNA is filed under the name uncultured bacterium. RNAcentral describes it as "bacterial SSU rRNA". It matches the Rfam family "Bacterial small subunit ribosomal RNA", at positions 355 to 766 of the family's 1533-position model. The record is from RNAcentral.